GACGUAGGGGGCGAGCGUUGUCCGGAUUCAUUGGGCGUAAAGGGCUCGUAGGCGGUUUGUCGCGUCGGGAGUGAAAACCCAGGGCUUAACCCUGGGCUGGCUUCCGAUACGGGCAGACUAGAGGUAUGCAGGGGAGAACGGAAUUCCUGGUGUAGCGGUGAAAUGCGCAGAUAUCAGGAGGAACACCGGUGGCGAAGGCGGUUCUCUGGGCAUUACCUGACGCUGAGGAGCGAAAGUGUGGGGAGCGAACAGG
RNAcentral lists this ribosomal RNA (253 nucleotides) under uncultured bacterium. RNAcentral's name for it is "partial 16S ribosomal RNA". It matches the Rfam family "Bacterial small subunit ribosomal RNA", at positions 524 to 776 of the family's 1533-position model. The record is from RNAcentral.